UGGCUCAGGAUGAACGCUAGCGACAGGCCUAACACAUGCAAGUCGAGGGCAGCACAAGGAGCAAUCUGAGGUGGCGACCGGCGCACGGGUGAGUAACACGUAUGCAACCUGCCUGUAAGCGGGGAAUAACCCGUUGAAAGACGGACUAAUACCGCAUAAUACUAAAUUACUGCAUGGUAAUUUAUUUAAACAUUUAUGGCUUACAGAUGGGCAUGCGCAUGAUUAGCUAGUUGGAGAGGUAACGGCUCCCCAAGGCAACGAUCAUUAGGGGUUCUGAGAGGAAGGUCCCCCACACUGGUACUGAGACACGGACCAGACUCCUACGGGAGGCAGCAGUGAGGAAUAUUGGUCAAUGGACGAGAGUCUGAACCAGCCAAGUCGCGUGCAGGAAGAAUUGUCCUAUGGAUUGUAAACUGCUUUUGCAGGGGAAUAAAGUGCAUCACGUGUGAUGUUUUGUAUGUACUCUGCGAAUAAGGAUCGGCUAACUCCGUGCCAGCCGCCGC
This 503-nucleotide ribosomal RNA is filed under the name uncultured bacterium. RNAcentral's name for it is "bacterial SSU rRNA". It matches the Rfam family "Bacterial small subunit ribosomal RNA", at positions 20 to 518 of the family's 1533-position model. The record is from RNAcentral.